UUAAAUUGAAGAGUUUGAUCAUGGCUCAGAUUGAACGCUGGCGGCAGGCCUAACACAUGCAAGUCGAGCGGAAACGAGUUGUCUGAACCUUCGGGGAACGAUA
Molecule: ribosomal RNA, 103 nt
Filed under: Vibrio parahaemolyticus
Lineage: Bacteria; Pseudomonadati; Pseudomonadota; Gammaproteobacteria; Vibrionales; Vibrionaceae
Description: partial 16S ribosomal RNA
Source: RNAcentral